This 880-nucleotide non-coding RNA is filed under the name Chaetodipterus faber. RNAcentral describes it as "partial 12S ribosomal RNA". It matches the Rfam family "Bacterial small subunit ribosomal RNA". Lineage: Eukaryota; Metazoa; Chordata; Actinopteri; Ephippiformes; Ephippidae. The record is from RNAcentral.
ACUAUCAGCUCUAGCUAAAUUUACACAUGCAAGUAUCCGCACCCCGGUGAGAAUGCCCUACAAUUCCCUGCCCGGGAACAAGGAGCUGGUAUCAGGCACUUACAAUAUAAAGCCCACGACACCUUGCUUAGCCACACCCUCAAGGGAACUCAGCAGUGAUAAACAUUAAGCCAUAAGUGAAAACUUGACUCAGUCAAAGCUAAUCUAGGGUCGGUAAAACUCGUGCCAGCCACCGCGGUUAUACGAGGGACCCAAGUUGAUAGACACCGGCGUAAAGAGUGGUUAAAACUUAUAAUUAAACUAAAGCCGAACGCCCUCAAAGCUGUUAUACGCAUCCGAGAGUAAGAAGCCCAACCACGAAAGUAGCUUUACACCCCUGAACCCACGAAAGCCAGGGUACAAACUGGGAUUAGAUACCCCACUAUGCCUAGCCUUAAACAUUGGCAGCACCCCACACCCGCUGCCCGCCUGGAAACUACGAGCACCAGCUUAAAACCCAAAGGACUUGGCGGUGCUUUAGAUCCACCUAGAGGAGCCUGUUCUAGAACCGAUACCCCCCGUUCAACCUCACCCCUCCUUGUUAUUUCCGUCUAUAUACCGCCGUCGUCAGCUUACCCUGUGAAGGCCCAAUAGUAAGCAAAAUUGGCAUAGCCCAGACGUCAGGUCGAGGUGUAGCAGGGAAGAAAUGGGCUACAUUCUCUGCCACAGAGAACACGCACGACAUAAUGAAAACAGAUGUCACAAAGGAGGAUUUAGCAGUAAGCAGGAAAUAGAGAGUUCCGCUGAAAUAGGCCCUUAAGCGCGCACACACCGCCCGUCACUCUCCCCAAGCCUACAAAAACUAAAUAACUAAAAACUCACCACUGCAAUAGGGGAGGCA